CGGACGACCUCGGGGUGCCGGAACCGACCCGGCUGAGAUGCGAUCUUCGCGAACCCGCUGAACCUGACCCGGUUAAGACCGGCGGAGGGAAGGUGACCGGAACUCCC
This 107-nucleotide non-coding RNA is filed under the name Thioclava atlantica. RNAcentral's name for it is "TPP sequence". It matches the Rfam family "TPP riboswitch aptamer (THI element)". Rfam says of the family: Vitamin B(1) in its active form thiamin pyrophosphate (TPP) is an essential coenzyme that is synthesised by coupling of pyrimidine and thiazole moieties in bacteria. The previously detected thiamin-regulatory element, thi box was extended, resulting in a new, highly conserved RNA secondary structure, the THI element, which is widely distributed in eubacteria and also occurs in some archaea. Analysis of operon structures identified a large number of new candidate thiamin-regulated genes, mostly transporters, in various prokaryotic organisms. Lineage: Bacteria; Pseudomonadati; Pseudomonadota; Alphaproteobacteria; Rhodobacterales; Paracoccaceae. The record is from RNAcentral.